GCCGUCGUGGGCCAUGGGCCAGUUCCGAAACUUACGUUGCAUAGAUCUUGAGCGGGGCAGAUGGAGGUUCGAUCCCUCCCGACGGCA
Molecule: non-coding RNA, 87 nt
Organism: Mycena polygramma
Lineage: Eukaryota; Fungi; Basidiomycota; Agaricomycetes; Agaricales; Mycenaceae
Source: the annotation of a GenBank genome assembly